GGAUUGCAGUCUGCAACUCGACUGCAUGAAGCUGGAAUCGCUAGUAAUCGCGAAUCAGAAUGUCGCGGUGAAUACGUUCCCGGGCCUUGUACACACCGCCCGUCACACCAUGGGAGUUGGAAGCACCCGAAGUCGGUGACCUGACCGAAAGGGAGGAGCCGCCGAAGGUGAAGCCAGCGACUGGGGUGAAGUCGUAACAAGGUAAC
This 206-nucleotide ribosomal RNA is filed under the name uncultured bacterium. RNAcentral's name for it is "partial 16S ribosomal RNA". It matches the Rfam family "Bacterial small subunit ribosomal RNA", at positions 1295 to 1500 of the family's 1533-position model. The record is from RNAcentral.